GAUUUUAGUUCCUCAACCAGGGAUUGAACCCAUAUCCCCUGCAUUGCAAGGCAGAGUCUUAACUUCUGGAUCACCAGAGAAGUCCCUCCCCUAGUUUUUUUAAAUCUUUCACCUAUAUUCCUGUCUUGGUUACAUGCAGAAAUGCUACUCUUCAAGGACCAUUAACUCCCUGACUUCACAUAACAAGAUUCUGAUCCUGUAUCUAUUGUCUGUGUUUUAACUACCAGGUUUUGUGGCUUGACUGUGCCUGGCACUUGAUGUACCUGGUCUUCCUUCAAGGUGGUGUAGAUUGCUGCUAGGUUACUGGAUUCUUUUCUUGAGGGGUCAUUAGCUUACAACAGUUUCUCAAACUCCCUUAAAAUUCCCUUUCUGUCUUUAGUCCCCUAGUGGGAUUUCUAAACUCACUAUUAAAUUAUCCUAUUCUAUCCUUAUCAUUUUUAGAACACAAGACUCCCUUUCUCUAGUAAACUAGAUCUAGGGAAGUCUGGGAAGGCUUCACAGAAGAGGUGACAUUUGAACUGGGGCCUUGAAGUUUAUCUAGGGUUCUACCCUGUACAAUUCCAAGUGCUGCCAUUCACAAGGUAAUCUCUGUUACUGGCUCCCCUGCAUGUGCAGGGCAACUCUGAGAUCUUCACAGAGAAAUGGAGAAGGUGCCCUUGUUAGUUUUUGCUGUCUAACAAAUGGCUUCCCAAAUUCAGCCUCCCAAAUUCAUGCUCUAUUGGUUUCAAACAAUAAGCAUUUACAGGUCAGCUGGCUAGCUCUUCUGAACUCAGGUGGGCUUAUUCCUGCACCUGAAUCAGCUGGUGAGUCAACUGUAGGGUGAUCAACCGUCCUGGUUUGCCUGGAACUGCCCCAGUUAUAGCACUGAAAGACCUACAUCCCAGAGAGGGUGUUUGCUACUCUGAUGGACAAACGGACAGGGGACGCAACUGUCCAGUAUCACUCGGCUCGCUGGACCAGGACAGCAGCACCAGCCUCAUCUCUGUUCUCCUCCUCCUGUCUGUUCUCGGCUCUGCAGCCGAGCGCUCUCAAAUCCACCAAGCUCUGUCCUGCCCUCACUCAGCGCCCUCCAGGGAUGUCCCCCACUCUUCAGUUUUAUUCUCCCCCACACCAACUUUGUACUCUGAAAUUCCUCUAUAAGAGGUGAAAGACUAGAAAAUGAAUACCCUAUGUACUUUUCCAAGAUUUAACGAUGGCUAACAUUCUCCAUCUCGGAGAAGGGAAUGGCACCCCACUCCAGUACUCUUGCCUGGAAAAUCCCAUGGAUGGAGGAGCCUGGUGGGCUACAGU
Long non-coding RNA from Bos taurus (domestic cattle), 1290 nucleotides. The record is from Ensembl. NCBI's taxonomy places the organism in Eukaryota, Metazoa, Chordata, Mammalia, Artiodactyla, Bovidae.